This is a long non-coding RNA of Antechinus flavipes (yellow-footed antechinus), 5976 nucleotides long. RefSeq lists it as uncharacterized. NCBI's taxonomy places the organism in Eukaryota, Metazoa, Chordata, Mammalia, Dasyuromorphia, Dasyuridae. The transcript is spliced from 2 exons. The record is from RefSeq and is a predicted model, not a curated record.
UGGAUGUAAAAAAAAAAAAAAAAAAAAAAAAUGAAUACUCAAUGAAUUGCCAGACUUUCAGGAUUUUGUUGUAAGACCUGAACUUGAUAGAAAUUUUGACCCAUAAAAUCCAAGAGAAAUAAAGGUUAAUUACAAGUCACUCAAUGAGGACAAAUAUUUUAUGUUUUAUAUGUGAAAAUGUAAACCCUAUGCUUAAGAUUGUCAUUAACUAGUAAUUGGGUAGUUUGAAAGAUUGGAUAGAGCUGAAUAUAAUGUGAUUCUAAAAAGCAAAAUUGUGUAGGAAAUAUAGAGGAAUUAGGUGGGGAAGGAGGGCUGCUAAUUCUGAAAUCCUACUUUUAUCAAGAAUGGGUUAAAGAGGGAAUUAAAUCAAAAUCCAGAAAGAAAUAAGAGGAUAAGGGGAUAGGGAGGGAAGAGCAUGUAGAUGAAUGAGAAUGGGAUAAAAGAAAAAGGAAGAAAAAGAAAAGAAAAGAAAAAGGAAGAGGGAAUGAAAAGGGUAUGAGAAAGGAUAAGGAAGUGAUCAUAGGAAGGAGGAGUAGGUUAAUUAAUAGUAAAGCAAGGUAGUAAUUGGAGGAGUCAGGAAAUGAGAGAUACACAUAAACAUAAUAAUAAUGAUCAGAAGUAGAAUUUAUUAGAAAAAAGCAGGAGUAAUUGUUGAUCUCAGACAAAGUUAAAGCUAAAAUAGAUUCAAUCAAAAGAGAAAACUAGGGAAACUACACUAUAUGUCAAUCAUAUUAAUAUUGGUUUAGACUAUUUAAAAUAACUAUAGCAUAAGGUUGUGAUGCGAGUCAUGAUGAGGUACAAGUCACAAAGGUGGGGAGUCAUCUGGAAAGAAUUCAGACUCAAACCUUUUCAAAGUCAAGGGGCAAUGCUUUAUUGGAAUACUUAGCAAGCAGAAGUUCUUAAUGAACUUUCAAUUAAAGAGGGGGAAGGUGGGACUUUUUAUGGAGAGGAUCCCAAACUAGGCCCAUUAACUAACUAUGCUGGGUGCAUACAUAGGAUAAUCAGCUGGUGGGCGAGCCUGUCCUGUUUGACAAGAUGGACUCAGGACAGAUAGAGCUUAACACCCCCGCCCAUUGUAGAAGGUAACAGGGAGCCUCAGAGCUGCAUAAUAGCCCUGUCUGUACAAGAGAGCUCCAGGGUUAUCCACAGGGCUCCUCGCCCCCGCCCACUCAGACGCUGGCUUAUUACCAGGAGCAUGGGCUAUUGCUGCAGUCCAUUCACCCCAUCAGUUGGAAUAUUGCUGGUUUGGCAAAUGAUGAAUUGAUGGAUUUACAAACUGUAGAAAGACAGAGUUAUCAAGGAUGAUGUUAUCCACCUUGAGAGAAAGAGGACAAACAAGUAUAAUAUAAGUAUAUUAUACAUUAUAAGGCUAUAAUAGCCUUACAUAGAUAUUUAUGAAUAUGCAGCCACGCUCGCAGAAACUCUCUCCUUCCACUAUUUUCCCCGCUUCUGAGUCGGAGUCUUCCCGCCUCGCUUCUCACAGGCUUCCGCGGCAACUUUGAUCCGUCCUUCCCUCCGCCCGCCGCCUGACACCUCGCUCCGGAGGGUCACCUGAUUCCAGACGUCCAAUCAGCUUCGAGCCAGGUGCAGCUGAGAAGAGCGGCGGCCUCCCGGGAGCCAGGAUGGGCUGCGCCCCCGACGCCAGCUCUUCUCGCUUCUCGGCCUUUGGCUGCGCGGAUUCCGACCCAUCUCGCCACUGAAACUGAUCUCUUCGAAGAUGCCGAUGGAGCCUUAAUUACCAGGUCCGGUGCCGGCUUUUCCUAGCUCCACGCUUUCUCGACCUCUGUGAGGGGCACUUGACAUUGCCCAAUGGCCUCUCCUCGUCGCUCUCCUCCUUGGGUUUCUGUGACGUGGUCCCUGUCUGUCGGACCUCUCUCUCAGUCUGCUUUGCUGGAUCAUCACGUGUAACUGGGGCCCCCACUAGAAAUGAACUCCAGGGCCUCUCUAAAUCACUGGGUGAGCUCAUCGGCUGGCCCGCCUUCCUUUGCCAUCUCUAGGAGGAAAUCUCCCAAGUCUAUGCAGGCCUAGGCUCCCCCUCACUCCUGUCCCGGAUGCACGUUUGAACUGGAUGUAUAAAAUGGGGGCGGUUUCUCCAGCUCUUCCCUCGAAGCCACCCCUUCUUGCAAGCUUUCCUUUUCUGUUCUCCUCACCCCCAAGUGCACAAUCCAGGAGUCGUGCUUGACUCUGCUCGUACAUGGCAGUUGGUUGCCGAGUCUCGCUGCCGAUGUCUCUUGCAUGUUCCCUUUCCCCCACUCACAAGGCCACCUCCCUGGUCCAGUCCCUCCUCACCUCACUUCUCCAUUUUUCUCCCAAUCCAUCUUCCACAUACCCAGCCAACUUGUUUUCCUAAAGCGCAGCUCCGACCUAGUCCCUGGCUUGCUGCAUGAACUCUUCGAACUGCUCCAGACUGAAACGGGACCAGCUCAGCUCGGCCCGGAGAGGUCUUUAUGAUGGCCAUUAUAUAAUGCUCUCUUCGUGCCCUUCUCAGCCUCGCAAAAGUGGUUCUUACUGAUCCUCACCCACAAAACCUUCUCUCUUUGCUGGCUGUUGUGUUCCCCACACCAGGAAUGUACAGCUCCUCUUCUGCUUCUAAGAACCCCAAAAUUUUCUUCCAAACUAAGCUCAAGCCCUACCCUAGCUGCUAAUGACUUUUCCCUACCACAUUAUCUUUGUAUACACUUCUAUGUGUGCGUGUUGUCGUCCCCCCUAGUAGCACAGAAACUCCCUAAGGACUAGGACAGCCCUUGUCCUUAGGGAUAUUUAAUGCACAUCCCCAGAAGCUGAGUUCCUGGUACAAAAAUAGACCCUGAUUUAAUACCUUUUCUUGAUUCUCCUGUAUCACGUUUCCCACUCCGUUUUGGGAGGAGCUGGGCUUCUGGGUAUUUGGGCAGAUGGGUCUUCAUAAACUAAAAUCACCCCCACCAUGUUUAAGGCCCUUCUAGCACGAAAGAAGCUGCUAGAGCGGGCACUCUGUUGGCACAAGUUUUAUGUCACUUAUUUAAAUCUUUACAGGUUUUUCAUCCUAAUCAUUAUUUCUUAUAGCACAAGCUCAUUUUCUUCACACUUUAGAUCAACAUGUAGGAUUGUUUUGACAAACCCAAAGAACCUAGUAUUUGGGAAAGAACUAUUUGACAAAAAUUGCUGGGAAAAUUGGAAAUUAGUAUGGCAGAAACUAGGCAUUGACCCACACUUAACACCAUACACCAAGAUAAGGUCAAAAUGGGUUCAUAACCUAGGCAUAAAGAGAGAAAUUAUAAAUAAAUUGGAAGAGCAUAGGAUAGUUUACCUCUCAGAUCUGUGGAAGAGGAAGGAAUUUAUGACCAAAGAAGAACUAGAAAUCAUGAUUAAUUACAAAAUAGAAAAUUUUGAUUGUAUCAAAUUGAAAAAUUUUUGUACAAACAAAACUAAUGCAGACAAGAUUAGAAGGGAAGCAAUAAACUGGGAAAACAUUUUUACAGUCAAAGGUUCUGAUAAAGGCCUCAUUUCCAAAAUAUAUAAUUGACUCUAAUAUAUAAGAAAUCAAGCCAUUCUCCAAUUGAUAAAUGGUCAAAGGAUAUGAACAGACAAUUCUCAGAUGAAGAAAUUGAAACUAUUUCUAGCCAUAUGAAAAGAUGCUCCAAGUCAUUAUUCAUCAGAGAAAUGCCAAUUAAGACAACUCUGAGAUACCACUACACACCUGUCAGACUGGCUAGAAUGACAGGGAAAGAUAAUGUGGAAUGUUGGAGGGGAUGUGGGAAAACAGGGACACUGAUACAUUGUUGGUGGAAUUGUGAACACAUCCAGCCAUUCUGGAGAGCAAUUUGGAACUAUGCUCAAAAAGUUACCAAACUGUGCAUACCCUUUGAUCCAGCAGUGUUUCUACUGGGCUUAUAUCCUAAAGAGAUACUAAAAAAGGGAAAGGGUCCUGUAUGUGCAUGAAUGUUUGUGGCAGCCCUCUUUGUAGUGGCCAGAAACUGGAAACUGAGUGGAUGCCCAUCAAUUGGAGAAUGGCUGAAUAAAUUGUGGUAUAUGUAUGUUAUGGAAUAUUAUUGUUCGGUAAGAAAUGACCAACAGGAGGAUUUCAGAAAGGCCUGGAGAGACUUACAUGAACUGAUGCUGAGUGAACCGAGCAGGACCAGGAGAUCAUUAUAUACUUCAACAACAAUACUAUAUGAUGACCAAUUCUGAUGGACCUGGCCAUCCUCAGCAAUGAGAUGAACCAAAUCAGUUCCAAUGGAGCAGUAAUGAACUGAACCAGCUACGCCCAGCGAAAGAACUCUGGGAGAUGACUAAGAACCAUUACAUUGAAUUCCCAGUCCCUGUAUUUUUGCACACCUACAUUUUUGAGUUCCUUCACAGGCUAAUUGUACAAUAUUUCAGAGUCCGAUUCUUUUUGUACAGCAAAAUAAUGGUUUGGUCAUGUAUACUUAUUGUGUAUCUAAUUUAUAUUUUAAUAUAUUUAACAUCUACUGGUCAUCCUGCCAUCUGGGGAAGGGGGUGGGAAGGAGGGGAAAAACUGGAACUAGAGCUUUGGCAAUUGUCAAUGCUGUAAAGUUACCCAUACAUAUAACCUGUAAAUAAAAGGCUAUUAAAAUAAAAAAAAAAAAAUUGUGCAUACCCUUUGAUCCAGCAGUGUUACUACUGGGCUUAUACCCCAAAGAGAUACUAAAGAAGGGAAAGGGACCUGUAUGUACCAAAAUGUUUGUGGCAGCCCUAUUUGUAGUGGCUAUAAACGGAAAAAUGAACGGAUGCCCAUCAGCUGGAGAAUGGUUGGAUAAAUUGUGGUAUAUGAAUGUUAUGGAAUAUUAUUGUUCUAUAAGAAAUGACCAGCAGGAUGAAUACAGAGAGGCUUGGAGAGACUUACAUGAACUGAUGCUAAGUGAAAUGAGCAGAACCAGAAGAUCAUUAUACUCUUUAACAACAAUACUGUACAGAGCUGGUUCAAUAUUAGGAAAACUACCAAUAUAAUUGGCCAUAUUAAUAAUCAAAUUAACAAAAACCAUAUGAUCAUCUCAAUAGAUGCAGAAAAAGCAUUUGAUAAAAUCCAACAUCCAUUCCUAUUAAAAACUCUUGAGAGGAUAGGAAUAAAUGGACUUUUCCUUAAAAUAAUCAGUAGCAUCUAUUUAAAACCAGCAGUAAGCAUCAUAUGUAACAGGGACAAACUGUAACCAUUCCCAAUAAGAUCAGGAGUAAAACAAGGUUGCCCACUCUCACCGUUACUAUUUAAUAUUGUACUAGAAAUGCUAGCUUUGGCAAUAAGAGUUGAGAAAGAGAUUAAAGGAAUAAGAAUAGGCAAUGAGGAAACCAAAUUAUCACUCUUUGCUGAUGAUAUGAUGGUAUACUUAGAGAAGCCCAGAGAUUCUACCAAAAAGUUAUUAGAAACAAUCUACACCUUCAGCAAAGUUGCAGGAUAUAAAAUAAACCCACAUAAGUCAUCAGCAUUCUUAUAUAUCACUAACAAAACCCAACAGUUAGAGUUACAAAAAGAAAUUCCAUUUAAAGUAACUACUGAUUGUAUAAAAUAUUUAGGAAUCUAUCUGCCAAGGGAAAAUCAGAAACUUUAUGAGCAAAACUACAAAACACUUUCCACACAAAUUAAGUCUGAUCUAACAACGAUACUGUAUGAGGAUGUAUUCUGAAAGAAGUGGAUUUCUUUGACAAAGAGAUCUAAUUCAGUAGAAUCAAUGAUAGAAGAAGCAGCUACACCCAAAGAAAGAACACUGGGAAAUGAAUGUAAACUGUUUGCAUUUUUGUUUUUCUUCCUGGGUUAUUUUUACCUUCUGAAUCCACCUCUUCCCGUGCAACAAAAGAACUGUUAGAUUCUGCACACAUAUAUUGUAUCUAGGAUAUACUGUGACAUAUUUAACAUGUAUAGGACAGCUUGCCAUCUGCCAGAGGGGGUGGAAGGAGGGAGGGGAAAAGUCAGAACAGAAGUGAGUGCAAGGGAUAAUGUUGUAAAAAAUUACCCAGGCAUGGGUUCUGUCAAUAAAAAGUUAU